RNAcentral lists this microRNA precursor (52 nucleotides) under Felis catus (domestic cat). Its description in RNAcentral is "mir-1302 microRNA precursor family". It matches the Rfam family "mir-1302 microRNA precursor family". Lineage: Eukaryota; Metazoa; Chordata; Mammalia; Carnivora; Felidae. The record is from Rfam by way of RNAcentral. RNAcentral also lists the same sequence under 1 other name.
UUUUAAGUAUAAGUAUGUCCCAUGCAGUAUUUGGGAUGUAGUUACACUAAAA